This 876-nucleotide ribosomal RNA is filed under the name uncultured fungus. Its description in RNAcentral is "eukaryotic LSU rRNA". The stretch from base 1 to 241 matches the Rfam family "Eukaryotic small subunit ribosomal RNA", at positions 1593 to 1831 of the family's 1831-position model. Lineage: Eukaryota; Fungi. The record is from RNAcentral.
UUGCUCUUCAACGAGGAAUUCCUAGUAAGCGUAAGUCAUCAGCUUGCGUUGAUUACGUCCCUGCCCUUUGUACACACCGCCCGUCGCUACUACCGAUUGAAUGGCUUAGUGAGGUCUUGAGAUUGGCUUCGGGGAGCCGGCAACGGCACCCUGUUGCUGAGAACUUGAUCAAACUUGGUCAUUUAGAGGAAGUAAAAGUCGUAACAAGGUUUCCGUAGGUGAACCUGCGGAAGGAUCAUUAAUGAAUUUUAAUGGGUGGGGUUGUCGCUGGCCUACUUGUAGGCAUGUGCACGCUUCGCUUCAUUCCAUCCUUCAUACCACUGUGCACUUCUCAUAGGUCGGAUUGCAGAGCUGCUUUAUUGCGGCAAUGAGGUCCUUCCUAUGUGUUUUACAAUAAACUUUGUCUGUCUUAGAAUGUUAAUGUCAUGCAUGAAUGCAUAUAUAAUACAACUUUCAGCAACGGAUCUCUUGGCUCUCGCAUCGAUGAAGAACGCAGCGAAAUGCGAUAAGUAAUGUGAAUUGCAGAAUUCAGUGAAUCAUCGAAUCUUUGAACGCACCUUGCGCUCCUUGGUAUUCCGAGGAGCAUGCCUGUUUGAGUGUCAUGGUAUUCUCAAUUCACCUGUAUUUUUGUUUAAAUGCAGUUUGAAUUGGAUGUGGAGGUGUGCCGGUGUCUCUUGGACAUUGGCUCCUCUUAAAUGCAUUAGCUUGAAUAUUACUGAGCACAUAUCAGCGUGAUAAAUGUCUACGUUGUAUGUGAUUGGUAUUUUUUAUUGUUCUGGCCUCAAAUCGUCUCUCUGGAGACAAUUGACUUUGAACAUCUGACCUCAAAUCAGGUAGGACUACCCGCUGAACUUAAGCAUAUCAAUAAGCGGAGGA